This 254-nucleotide ribosomal RNA is filed under the name uncultured bacterium. RNAcentral's name for it is "partial 16S ribosomal RNA". It matches the Rfam family "Bacterial small subunit ribosomal RNA", at positions 524 to 776 of the family's 1533-position model. The record is from RNAcentral.
UACGGGGGGGGGCAAGCGUUGUUCGGAAUUACUGGGCGUAAAGGGUUCGUAGGUGGCCCGCUAAGUCACACGUGAAAUCCCUCAGCUUAACUGGGGAACUGCGUGUGAGACUGGCGGGCUUGAGUGCAGGAGAGGAACGCGGAAUUCCAGGUGUAGCGGUGAAAUGCGUAGAUAUCUGGAGGAACACCGGUGGCGAAGGCGGCGUUCUGGACUGUAUCUGACACUGAGGAACGAAAGCCAGGGGAGCAAACGGG